CACAACUUGCAUGUCUUAAUCCUCAGCAACUGGUGCCAAAAAGAGUACAAAACAUGCACAGUGCACCUGCCACACACCACACUGGCAGAGGAGAUGCAAAGCCAGGACACGGUCAGGAAUGCGUUUUUGGCAUGAAAAUAUAAAGAACAUUUCACCUACACACGGUCAAGAAGGUCACAACAUUACAGUGCAAUGCAAGCUCUGUUUGCCAACAACCAAGCAGCUCUCUGCAUCAAAAGACUCCGCAUCUAAUUUGAAAAAGCACCUUGAGUAUGCCAAGAGUUGAAUGGCAGUGCUUGGAAGUGGAACAAUAUGCACACAAUGGGCACUAUUCUUGGAAUGAGCCUACGAAGUUGAAGUUGAAUUAUGAAGACUUCUAUCAUGUUGACUGUUGCCUCAGCGAGGGGAGACAUUGAAUAAGAGUAAUGACAGGGUAUGUCAGUUGUGGUCACAGCACAGUUUUGGUGUCAAGGAUUACAAGGAUUUGUGUUCACCAUGCCUGUUUGAUCUGACCUAUACUAUUUUCACUACUUUACCAGGCUAUUUUAAGCACAGGUCAUUGUUUUGGUGGGUAUGAUGACCUCCCUGUAGUUCAGAUAACAUUGUGAACUGUUUUAGCAGCACCUAAAGAUGCAUCCCUGUAGAAACAACACCCCAUGCUGUGUUUCUUUUAUAGUACACUAUAUACCUGUAUGCUUUUAACUAUCUUAAAGAAAGGGUCUCCUAUCAGUUCCCCUCAAAU
Molecule: long non-coding RNA, 742 nt
Organism: Thunnus maccoyii (southern bluefin tuna)
Lineage: Eukaryota; Metazoa; Chordata; Actinopteri; Scombriformes; Scombridae
Exons: 3
Source: RefSeq, a predicted model, not a curated record